Molecule: ribosomal RNA, 204 nt
Filed under: Pseudomonas sp. UAZ-LSP-Sval3
Lineage: Bacteria; Pseudomonadati; Pseudomonadota; Gammaproteobacteria; Pseudomonadales; Pseudomonadaceae
Description: partial 16S ribosomal RNA
Rfam family: Bacterial small subunit ribosomal RNA
Source: RNAcentral
UCCAGACUCCUACGGGAGGCAGCAGUGGGGAAUAUUGGACAAUGGGCGAAAGCCUGAUCCAGCCAUGCCGCGUGUGUGAAGAAGGUCUUCGGAUUGUAAAGCACUUUAAGUUGGGAGGAAGGGCAGUAAAUUAAUACUUUGCUGUUUUGACGUUACCGACAGAAUAAGCACCGGCUAACUCUGUGCCAGCAGCCGCGGUAAUAC